CUCUUCCACAGGAGGCCUACACGCCGCCGCUUGUGCUGCAGCCAUGCUCUAGUGAUCCCUGAAAAGUUCCAGCAUAUUUUGCGAGUACUCAACACCAACAUCGAUGGGCGGCGGAAAAUAGCCUUUGCCAUCACUGCCAUUAAGGUGUGGGCCGAAGAUAUGCUCAUGUGGUGUUGAGGAAAGCAGACAUUGACCUCACCAAGAGGGCGGGAGAACUCACUGAGGAUGAGUGGAACGUGUGAUCACCAUUAUGCAGAAUCCACGCCAGUACAAGAUCCCAGACU
Molecule: long non-coding RNA, 284 nt
Filed under: Homo sapiens (human)
Lineage: Eukaryota; Metazoa; Chordata; Mammalia; Primates; Hominidae
Description: long non-coding RNA NONHSAT108987.2
Source: RNAcentral